UGUGGCCAAGAGUGGCCUUAGUAAAGAGAGAGACAGUAGUGAGAACUUGAAGGUUGCAGGAACAAGAAGAAGAAAAUCAUGCCUUCAUCCCAGGCUUUAAUGAGGAUUGCCAGGAUCAAUGACUAGAUACUUGAGGAUUUGCACAAGUUUGCCAAGAGAUUGUACAAGGCACACUGCUGCAUGAUGAAAUGAAAGUCACAAGACUUCCUUCAGCUUGAGUCUCCAAAGUCCAAGAGAGGA
This 240-nucleotide long non-coding RNA is filed under the name Monodelphis domestica (gray short-tailed opossum). RNAcentral's name for it is "lncRNA (ENSMODG00000036791.1)". Lineage: Eukaryota; Metazoa; Chordata; Mammalia; Didelphimorphia; Didelphidae. The record is from RNAcentral.